CCAACAUGAAUAUCCCAGGAGGUCACUCUCCCUGGGCUCUGUCCGAGUGGCGUAGGGGAGCACAGGACUCUGCCCCAUGAUAUACAGUCCCUUUCCACAAUGUUGGAGAUGAAGCUGGGCUUCAAGUCUACACCUCAUAUUCCUACAACUUCUCAGAGUCCUGUGGACGAUAACUGGGGAGACAUACCACGCAAGGAACGGUC
Small nucleolar RNA from Nannospalax galili (Upper Galilee mountains blind mole rat), 203 nucleotides. Its record names the gene SNORA73. It matches the Rfam family "Small nucleolar RNA SNORA73 family". Rfam says of the family: U17 (SNORA73A and SNORA73B) also known as E1 belongs to the H/ACA class of small nucleolar RNAs (snoRNAs). Vertebrate U17 is intron-encoded and ranges in length from 200-230 nucleotides, longer than most snoRNAs. It is one of the most abundant snoRNAs in human cells and is essential for the cleavage of pre-rRNA within the 5' external transcribed spacer (ETS). NCBI's taxonomy places the organism in Eukaryota, Metazoa, Chordata, Mammalia, Rodentia, Spalacidae. The record is from Ensembl.